CCCUGAUGCAGCAACGCCGCGUGAGUGAAGAAGGCAUGCGUGUGCGUAAAACUCUGUAGUAGGGGAAGAAAGAAAUGACAGUACCCUAAAAGAAAGCCCCGGCUAACUACGUGCCAGCAGCCGCGGUAAUACGUAGGGGGCAAGCGUUAUCCGGAAUAACUGGGCGUAAAGGGUGCGCAGGUGGUUUAACAAGUUAGUGGUGAAAGGCAUAGGCUCAACCAAUGUAAGCCAUUAAAACUGUUUAACUUGAGUGCAGGAGAGGAAAGUGGAAUUCCUAGUGUAGCGGUGAAAAGCGUAGAUAUUAGGAGGAAUACCAGUGGCGAAGGCGACUUUCUGGACUGCAACUGACACUGAGGCACGAAAGCGUGGGGAGCAAACAGGAUUAGAUACCCUGGUAGUCCACGCCGUAAACGAUGAGUACUAGGUGUCGGGUGAAGAACUCGGUGCCGAAGUUAACACAUUAAGUACUCCGCCUGGGGAGUACGCUCGCAAGAGUAAAACUCA
RNAcentral lists this ribosomal RNA (504 nucleotides) under Filifactor alocis. Its description in RNAcentral is "bacterial SSU rRNA". It matches the Rfam family "Bacterial small subunit ribosomal RNA", at positions 381 to 903 of the family's 1533-position model. Lineage: Bacteria; Bacillati; Bacillota; Clostridia; Peptostreptococcales; Filifactoraceae. The record is from RNAcentral.